This 483-nucleotide ribosomal RNA is filed under the name uncultured bacterium. Its description in RNAcentral is "bacterial SSU rRNA". It matches the Rfam family "Bacterial small subunit ribosomal RNA", at positions 17 to 518 of the family's 1533-position model. The record is from RNAcentral.
UUCUGGCUCAGGACGAACGCUGGCGGCGUGCUUAACACAUGCAAGUCGAACGGGAGUAUUGAAGAAGCUUGCUUUAGAGAUACUUUAGUGGCGGACGGGUGAGUAACGCGUGAGGAGCUGUCCUAUGCAGGGGGACAACAGCUGGAAACGGCUGCUAAUACCCCAUAAGCCGAGAGGUAAAAGGAUCAAUCCGGCAGAGGAGGUACUCGCGUCCUAUCAGCUAGUAGGUGAGGUAACGGCUCACCUAGGCGAAGACGGGUAGCCGGCCUGAGAGGGCGAACGGCCACACUGGAACUGAGAUACGGUCCAGACUCCUACGGGAGGCAGCAGUGGGGAAUAUUGGGCAAUGGGGGGAAAAACCCCCUGACCCAGCGACGCCGCGUGGGUGAAGAAAUCCUUCGGGAUGUAAAGCCCUGUUGUAUGGGAAGAGCGGAAGACGGUACCAUACGAGGAAGCCCCGGCAAACUACGUGCCAGCAGCCGC